This 400-nucleotide ribosomal RNA is filed under the name grassland soil clone sl3_607. RNAcentral's name for it is "bacterial SSU rRNA". It matches the Rfam family "Bacterial small subunit ribosomal RNA", at positions 96 to 492 of the family's 1533-position model. The record is from RNAcentral.
UGGCGGACGGGUGAGUAAUGCGUAGGAAUCUGUCCAUCAGCGGGGGACAACCCGGGGAAACCCGGGCUAAUACCGCGUACGCCCUACGGGGGAAAGCAUGGGACUUUCGGGCCAUGUGCUGAUGGGUGAGCCUACGUUGGAUUAGCUAGUUGGUAGGGUAAAGGCCUACCAAGGCGAUGAUCCAUAGCUGUUCUGAGAGGAAGAUCAGCCACACUGGAACUGAGACACGGUCCAGACUCCUACGGGAGGCAGCAGUGGGGAAUAUUGGACAAUGGGCGCAAGCCUGAUCCAGCAAUGCCGCGUGUGUGAAGAAGGCCUGCGGGUUGUAAAGCACUUUCACNGGGGAAGAAGGGUUUGGUUCUAACAGGGCCAAGCAUUGACGGUACCCGGAGAAGAAGCA